RNAcentral lists this small nuclear RNA (22 nucleotides) under Arabidopsis thaliana (thale cress). RNAcentral describes it as "snRNA_17087". Lineage: Eukaryota; Viridiplantae; Streptophyta; Magnoliopsida; Brassicales; Brassicaceae. The record is from RNAcentral.
AUUCACCCUAUAAUUUUGUGUG